AAUGAACGUUGGCAGCGUGGAUUAGGCAUGCAAGUCGAGCGACAAGGUUCCUUCGGGGACUGGAGGAGCGGCAAACGGGGUAGUAAGGCAUCGGAACGUACCCUUUCGUCUGGGAUAGCCACGGGAAACUGUGAGUAAUACCGGAUAAUCUCUUCGGAGCAAAGGUCCGCCGCGUAAGGAGCGGCCGAUGUGAUACCAGCUUGUUGGUGAGGUAACGGCUCACCAAGGCGAAGACGUCUAGGGGGUGUGAGAGCAUGGCCCCCACACUGGGACUGAGACACUGCCCAGACACCUACGGGUGGCUGCAGUCGAGAAUCUUUGGCAAUGGGCGAAAGCCUGACCAAGCGACGCUGCGUGCGGGAUGAAGGCCUUUGGGUGUAAACCGCUGUCAG
RNAcentral lists this ribosomal RNA (392 nucleotides) under uncultured bacterium. RNAcentral describes it as "bacterial SSU rRNA". It matches the Rfam family "Bacterial small subunit ribosomal RNA", at positions 29 to 439 of the family's 1533-position model. The record is from RNAcentral.